GGACUACCCGGGUUUCUAAUCCCGUUCGCUCCCCUGGCCUUCGCCCCCGAGCGUCAGGUGCCUCCCAGGACACUGCCUUCGCCUUUGGUGUUCCUCCGGAUCUCUACGCAUUUCACCGCUCCACCCGGAAUUCCAUGUCCCUCUGAGGCCCUCCAGUCAUGCCGUCUUGCCAGCACUUCGGCAGUUAAGCCGCCGACUGUCACCAACAACGCGCACGACCGCCUGCGGGCGCUUUACGCCCAGUAACUCCGGACAACGCUCGCCCCCUACGUAUUACCGCGGCUGCUGGCAC
This 292-nucleotide ribosomal RNA is filed under the name uncultured bacterium. RNAcentral's name for it is "partial 16S ribosomal RNA". The record is from RNAcentral.